UACAGAGGUCUCAAGCGUUGUUCGGAUUCAUUGGGCGUAAAGGGUGCGUAGGUGGCGCUGUAAGUCGGGUGUGAAAUUUCGGAGCUUAACUCCGAAACUGCAUUCGAUACUGCGGUGCUUGAGGACUGGAGAGGAGACUGGAAUUCAUGGUGUAGCAGUGAAAUGCGUAGAGAUCAUGAGGAACACCGGUGGCGAAGGCGGGUCUCUGGGCCGAUACUGACGCUGAGGAGCGAAAGCGUGGGGAGCAACAGG
RNAcentral lists this ribosomal RNA (252 nucleotides) under uncultured bacterium. RNAcentral's name for it is "partial 16S ribosomal RNA". It matches the Rfam family "Bacterial small subunit ribosomal RNA", at positions 524 to 775 of the family's 1533-position model. The record is from RNAcentral.